CGUGUAGGCGGAUGCGUAAGUCCGGUGUAAAAGCCCCCGGCUCAACCGGGGAAGGCCAUCGGAUACUGCGUGUCUCGAGUGCGGGAAGGGAGAGUGGAACUCUUGGUGGAGCGGUGAAAUGCGUAGAUAUCAAGAGGAACGCCGGUGGCGAAAGCGGCUCUCUGGCCCGUGACUGACGCUGAGGCGCGAAAGCUAGGGGAGCAAACGGGAUUAGAUACCCCGGUAGUCCUAGCCCUAAACGAUGGGUACUAAGUAGGGGCGACUCCGAUGUUGUCUCUGCUGUAGCCAACGUGCUAAGUACCCCGCCUGGGGAGUACGGUCGCAAGGCUGAA
Molecule: ribosomal RNA, 332 nt
Filed under: uncultured bacterium
Lineage: Bacteria
Description: bacterial SSU rRNA
Rfam family: Bacterial small subunit ribosomal RNA
Source: RNAcentral